RNAcentral lists this ribosomal RNA (465 nucleotides) under Vreelandella stevensii. Its description in RNAcentral is "partial 16S ribosomal RNA". It matches the Rfam family "Bacterial small subunit ribosomal RNA", at positions 338 to 795 of the family's 1533-position model. The record is from RNAcentral. Lineage: Bacteria; Pseudomonadati; Pseudomonadota; Gammaproteobacteria; Oceanospirillales; Halomonadaceae.
CCUACGGGGGGCUGCAGUGGGGAAUAUUGGACAAUGGGCGAAAGCCUGAUCCAGCCAUGCCGCGUGUGUGAAGAAGGCCUUCGGGUUGUAAAGCACUUUCAGUGGGGAAGAAAGCCUUGGGGCUAAUACCCUCGAGGAAGGACAUCACCCACAGAAGAAGCACCGGCUAACUCCGUGCCAGCAGCCGCGGUAAUACGGAGGGUGCGAGCGUUAAUCGGAAUUACUGGGCGUAAAGCGCGCGUAGGCGGUCUGAUAAGCCGGUUGUGAAAGCCCCGGGCUCAACCUGGGAACGGCAUCCGGAACUGUCAGGCUAGAGUGCAGGAGAGGGAGGUAGAAUUCCCGGUGUAGCGGUGAAAUGCGUAGAGAUCGGGAGGAAUACCAGUGGCGAAGGCGGCCUUCUGGACUGACACUGACGCUGAGGUGCGAAAGCGUGGGUAGCAAACAGGAUUAGAUACCCCUGUAGUC